Molecule: ribosomal RNA, 335 nt
Filed under: uncultured Anaerolineaceae bacterium
Lineage: Bacteria; Bacillati; Chloroflexota; Anaerolineae; Anaerolineales; Anaerolineaceae
Description: bacterial SSU rRNA
Rfam family: Bacterial small subunit ribosomal RNA
Source: RNAcentral
CGAGGUGUUGCAUGGCUGUCGUCAGCUCGUGUCGUGAGAUGUUCGGUUAAGUCCGCUAACGAGCGCAACCCUCGCUGUAUGUUACAUGUGUCAUACAGGACCGCCGGUAUCAAGCCGGAGGAAGGUGGGGAUGACGUCAAGUCCGCAUGGCCUUUAUGUCCGGGGCUACACACACGCUACAAUGGUCGGUACAAUGGGUUGCUAAGCCGCGAGGUGGAGCCAAUCCCCCAAAGCCGGCCUCAGUUCAGAUUGCAGGCUGCAACUCGCCUGCAUGAAGCUGGAGUUGCUAGUAAACGCGCGUCAGCUAUAGUGCGUUGAAUACGUUCUCGGGCCUU